This 858-nucleotide ribosomal RNA is filed under the name uncultured bacterium. RNAcentral's name for it is "bacterial SSU rRNA". It matches the Rfam family "Bacterial small subunit ribosomal RNA", at positions 524 to 1381 of the family's 1533-position model. The record is from RNAcentral.
UACCUUGGGUGCGAGCGUUAAUCGGAAUUACUGGGCGUAAAGCGUGCGCAGGUGGUUUGUUAAGUCAGAUGUGAAAGCCCCGAGCUUAACUUGGGAACUGCGUUUGAGACUGGCAAGCUAGAGUCUGUCAGAGGGGGGUAGAACUCCACGUGUAGCAGUGAAAUGCGUAGAGAUGUGGAGGAAUACCAAUGGCGAAGGCAGCCCCCUGGGAUAAGACUGACGCUCAUGCACGAAAGCGUGGGGAGCGAACAGGAUUAGAUACCCUGGUAGUCCACGCCCUAAACGAUGUCAACUGGUUGUUGGGCAACUUGAUUGUUCAGUAACGAAGCUAACGCGAGAAGUUGACCGCCUGGGGAGUACGGUCGCAAGAUUAAAACUCAAAGGAAUUGACGGGGACCCGCACAAGCGGUGGAUGAUGUGGAUUAAUUCGAUGCAACGCGAAAAACCUUACCUACCCUUGACAUGUACGGAAGUCUGCUGAGAGGUGGAUGUGCCUGAAAGGGAACCGUAACACAGGUGCUGCAUGGCUGUCGUCAGCUCGUGUCGUGAGAUGUUGGGUUAAGUCCCGCAACGAGCGCAACCCUUGCUAUUAAUUGCCAUCAUUAAGUUGGGCACUUUAAUAGGACUGCUGGUGAUAAACCGGAGGAAGGUGGGGAUGACGUCAAGUCCUCAUGGCCCUUAUGGGUAGGGCUUCACACGUCAUACAAUGGCCGGUACAGAGGGAUGCCAACCCGCGAGGGGGAGCCAAUCUCAGAAAGCCGGUCGUAGUCCGGAUUGUUUUCUGCAACUCGAGAGCAUGAAGUCGGAAUCGCUAGUAAUCGCGGAUCAGCAUGUCGCGGUGAAUACGUUCCCGGGUCU